This 110-nucleotide ribosomal RNA is filed under the name Actinomadura latina. Its description in RNAcentral is "partial 16S ribosomal RNA". It matches the Rfam family "Bacterial small subunit ribosomal RNA", at positions 1 to 115 of the family's 1533-position model. The record is from RNAcentral. Lineage: Bacteria; Bacillati; Actinomycetota; Actinomycetes; Streptosporangiales; Thermomonosporaceae. RNAcentral also lists the same sequence under 2 other names.
UGGAGAGUUUGAUCCUGGCUCAGGACGAACGCUGGCGGCGUGCUUAACACAUGCAAGUCGAGCGGAAAGGCCCCUUCGGGGGUACUCGAGCGGCGAACGGGUGAGUAACA